GCAGUUCAAAUCUCACCAGGCUCAAGGUUGCCUCAGCCUUCCAUCCGAGAAAGCUAAAAGAAAAAGAGCAGGGACGUGUAUAUGAGCCAACAGAUGAAAUGGCGGAUGCAAAAUAAAUAUGGGAAAAAUAUAUUAAGAUGAAGAAUCGGAAUGAGGAACAUUCUGGGGAGAAUUUGAUUUUCAACUAUAUUCAAACUAUGUAUCCAUUUGGAAGAGAAUAGAUUUAUCAAAAGAAUGGAAGGAUGAGUCAGCUAAACAAAGAAAAUGAAUAAUGGAUGAAUGCUAUAUAUGUGCACCUGCAUAUGUGUGAAGAUCAAUGGAUGAGUUUAUAAAGAUAAAAGAUGGAUGGUGCCUGCCUGCUUGUAUACCCAAGAGACAAGAUUGCUACAGAUAAGGAUAGAGAGAGAGAAUAAAGUUUUCCACGUGUGACCACUCCCUCCCCCUCCUCUGGAAAAUAAAGUGUCUAUAAGGGAGAAGACACAUGUGAAAUGACUCUGGACCUUCUGAAUGCUGGCAAUGAUCCUGUUCACAACCAAUCCCAACCUUGCUCACUUAUUGUGCUACAGGUAAGACUGGGCCAUAGGACUAAAGUCCAAGAAUCUGUAGCACACGAGGACUCAGAGGUGACCAUACAAAGUGACAGACGAUGGAAGCAGCAACAAGGCCCACCAUAACAUUUGGGCUGAAAAAAGGCAUCAGUUCCAAUCUCUAUGCCUGCCAGUGUUUUUUGAUAGUUUGAUAGCUAUGUGAUCAUGUACAUUUUUGUAUGUGGAUGACACUGAACUGAAUAUUGCCAUCCCAUGGAGAGCUGAAAAUGCUGUUAUAAGUCUUGAACUAGUAUCUGAAGGUGGUAAGCAAUGGAAAGAAACAAGCCCAGAUUAAUAUUAUCAAGAUGGAGUUGUGUUUUGUUAAUAAGCAACCAGGAAUAUUAGUCUUCAAAAUACUAUGCCUCCUGUGGAGGAGCUGGUCCCUUUAGACGCACAACUCCUGCUAGAAUAACAGAUGGAAGCUGUGACCCAUCACACAGCUGCAGAAUUUACAUCAGCUGUCAUGCCCCAGCAUAUAACUUUUUGUAUACUGUUGUUGCUCUCUCAGUGGCCUGAGGAACAAGUACCAAGUACAUUGUUUAAAGCUGACCAAACCCAUUUUACCCAUCAACCCGCACUCUCAAACCAAGAGCACGCUGGGAAGCCAGACUCCAUUUCCUUUAGCAUUUGGAGAUCCAUCUUAAUCUGUGGCACAGGAUCAUCCAAGGACAAACCCUUCCCACACACGGAGCAUCCCUGGUGAGAUUUAAAUUGCUUGUAUUUAUUAAUUGUUAUGUUCAGCAGUAACAUAAUACUGUCAAUCUUG
Long non-coding RNA from Thamnophis elegans (Western terrestrial garter snake), 1353 nucleotides. RefSeq lists it as uncharacterized. The record is from RefSeq and is a predicted model, not a curated record. The transcript has 4 exons. NCBI's taxonomy places the organism in Eukaryota, Metazoa, Chordata, Lepidosauria, Squamata, Natricidae.